RNAcentral lists this ribosomal RNA (448 nucleotides) under Rhizopus arrhizus. RNAcentral's name for it is "eukaryotic LSU rRNA". It matches the Rfam family "Eukaryotic large subunit ribosomal RNA", at positions 234 to 606 of the family's 3401-position model. Lineage: Eukaryota; Fungi; Mucoromycota; Mucoromycetes; Mucorales; Rhizopodaceae. The record is from RNAcentral.
CAUUUGCCUUUUGUGAUACGCUUUCAAAGAGUCAGGUUGUUUGGGAAUGCAGCCUAAAUUGGGUGGUAAAUCUCACCUAAAGCUAAAUAUUGGCGAGAAACCGAUAGCGAACAAGUACCGUGAGGGAAAGAUGAAAAGAACUUUGAAAAGAGAGUUAAACAGUAUGUGAAAUUGUUAAAAGGGAACCGUUUGGAGCCAGACUGGCUUGUCUGUAAUCAAUCUAGGCUUCGGCCUGGAUGCACUUGCAGGCUAUGCCUGCCAACGACAAUUUGACUUGAGGGAAAAAACUAAGGGAAAUGUGGCCCACUUGUGGGUGUUAUAGUCCCUUAGAAAAUACCUUGGGUUGGAUUGAGGAACGCAGCGAAUGCUUUUUGGCGAGUUUUCCAGGAAGGUUUUCUGAGGUACUACGGUAUCAAGGUUGAUCUUUUUGGUUAUACUUCUAUUCGCU